Molecule: ribosomal RNA, 449 nt
Filed under: uncultured bacterium
Lineage: Bacteria
Description: partial 16S ribosomal RNA
Rfam family: Bacterial small subunit ribosomal RNA
Source: RNAcentral
AGCGAACGCUGGCGGCAGGCCUAACACAUGCAAGUCGAACGGAUCCUUCGGGAUUAGUGGCGGACGGGUGAGUAACACGUGGGAACGUGCCCUUUGGUUCGGAACAACUCAGGGAAACUUGAGCUAAUACCGGAUGUGCCCUUCGGGGGAAAGAUUUAUCGCCAUUGGAGCGGCCCGCGUCUGAUUAGCUAGUUGGUGAGGUAAAGGCUCACCAAGGCGACGAUCAGUAGCUGGUCUGAGAGGAUGAUCAGCCACAUUGGGACUGAGACACGGCCCAAACUCCUACGGGAGGCAGCAGUGGGGAAUCUUGCGCAAUGGGCGAAAGCCUGACGCAGCCAUGCCGCAUGAAUGAUGAAGGUCUUAGGAUUGUAAAAUUCUUUCACCGGGGACGAUAAUGACGGUACCCGGAGAAGAAGCCCCGGCUAACUUCGUGCCAGCAGCCGCCGUAA